RNAcentral lists this ribosomal RNA (253 nucleotides) under uncultured bacterium. Its description in RNAcentral is "partial 16S ribosomal RNA". It matches the Rfam family "Bacterial small subunit ribosomal RNA", at positions 524 to 776 of the family's 1533-position model. The record is from RNAcentral.
UACGUAGGGUGCGAGCGUUGUCCGGAAUUAUUGGGCGUAAAGGGCUGGUAGGCGGCCAACUAAGUCGGAUGUGAAAUCCCCAGGCUUAACCUGGGAACUGCAUCCGAUACUGGUUGGCUUGAAUCCGGGAGAGGGAUGCAGAAUUCCAGGUGUAGCGGUGAAAUGCGUAGAUAUCUGGAGGAAUACCGGUGGCGAAGGCGGCAUCCUGGACCGGCAUUGACGCUGAGGAGCGAAAGCUAGGGGAGCAAACGGG